This 307-nucleotide ribosomal RNA is filed under the name uncultured eukaryote. RNAcentral's name for it is "partial 18S ribosomal RNA". It matches the Rfam family "Eukaryotic small subunit ribosomal RNA", at positions 1470 to 1796 of the family's 1831-position model. The record is from RNAcentral.
CCCUUAGACGUUCUGGGCCGCACGCGCGCUACACUGACACAGGCAACGAGCUUUCCUUUACCGAAAGGUAUGGGUAAUCUUUUGAAACGGUGUCGUGCUGGGGAUAGAUCCUUGCAAUUUUUGAUCUUAAACGAGGAAUUCCUAGUAAGCGCGAGUCAUCAACUCGCGUUGAUUACGUCCCUGCCCUUUGUACACACCGCCCGUCGCUACUACCGAUUGAAUGGCUUAGUGAGGCCUCAGGAUCCGCGCUUAAUGUGUGGAGAAUUUGGACAAACUACGUCAUUUAGAGGAAGUAAAAGUCGUAACA